AGCAAUUUUUGGUGCAUGUUUCAACAUAAUUAUUUUUGAUUAUUUGAUUAUUUGAUAUUUGAUUAUUUGAUUAUUUGAUAAUUACUUUUAUUCCCACAACGCCAACUUUUUAGUCAUUUUAUAUUUUAUCUACAGAUGCAAUGCAUCAAUUUAGUACAUAAUUUUGUCGCUAGAGUGUAUAACACUUAAACCUUUUCUCGUUAACACUUUCUAAUGAUUUCUGUUCCAUAUAUACAUGACAGUGAGGUUGUGAUUUUAGUUGCGUCGCGUGGUGUCGAAAGACGCAGUUGAUAAAUGAAAAUAUAACCUAACCUCUUCUCUAAGCCGGAAGCCCUCGGACCGGCUUAAAAUAAACCAAGGGUUACGCGACGUUUUUUUUUAAUGCUUUAUACAUUACCAUAAGAGUCAUUUAUCAAAAUCCUUGCGGCUUUACUGAUGAAGACGUAAUGGCGGUCUGUUGGUCGUCUAUUUGCCAAGACGGAAGAUAACCGAUCGACACUUUUCCGUAGAACGGUACCAAGUGGUGCUCGCACAUGGAGAACAUUUCAAUGUCCUUCACUACCACCA
Molecule: long non-coding RNA, 567 nt
Organism: Linepithema humile (Argentine ant)
Lineage: Eukaryota; Metazoa; Arthropoda; Insecta; Hymenoptera; Formicidae
Source: RefSeq, a predicted model, not a curated record